GACCUCGUAGCUCAGCUGAAAGAGCAAACGCCGUACCAAAGCGUGGGUUCUAUCCACGCAUGGGUUCGAAUCCCGUCAGGGUCA
This 84-nucleotide transfer RNA is filed under the name Fasciola hepatica (liver fluke). It matches the Rfam family "tRNA". From Rfam's summary of the family: Transfer RNA (tRNA) molecules are approximately 80 nucleotides in length. Their secondary structure includes four short double-helical elements and three loops (D, anti-codon, and T loops). The record is from Rfam by way of RNAcentral. Lineage: Eukaryota; Metazoa; Platyhelminthes; Trematoda; Plagiorchiida; Fasciolidae.